AGGGAAUUAGCUUUAGUGGUAGAGCGCUCGCUUAGCAUGUGAGAGGUACAGGGAUCGAUACCCCUAUUCUUCA
This 73-nucleotide transfer RNA is filed under the name Dreissena polymorpha. RNAcentral describes it as "tRNA-Ala". Lineage: Eukaryota; Metazoa; Mollusca; Bivalvia; Myida; Dreissenidae. The record is from RNAcentral.